GAUGAACGCUGGCGGCGUGCCUAAUACAUGCAAGUCGAGCGAACAGAUGAGGAGCUUGCUCCUCUGACGUUAGCGGCGGACGGGUGAGUAACACGUGGAUAACCUACCUAUAAGACUGGGAUAACUUCGGGAAACCGGAGCUAAUACCGGAUAAUAUAUUGAACCGCAUGGUUCAAUAGUGAAAGACGGUUUUGCUGUCACUUAUAGCUGGAUCCGCGCCGCAUUAGCUAGUUGGUAAGGUACCGGCUUACCAAGGCAACGAUGCGUAGCCGACCUGAGAGGGUGAUCGGCCACACUGGAACUGAGACACGGUCCAGACUCCUACGGGAGGCAGCAGUAGGGAAUCUUCCGCAAUGGGCGAAAGCCUGACGGAGCAACGCCGCGUGAGUGAUGAAGGUCUUCGGAUCGUAAAACUCUGUUAUUAGGGAAGAACAAAUGUGUAAGUAACUAUGCACGUCUUGACGGUACCUAAUCAGAAAGCCACGGCUAACUACGUG
RNAcentral lists this ribosomal RNA (497 nucleotides) under uncultured bacterium. RNAcentral describes it as "partial 16S ribosomal RNA". It matches the Rfam family "Bacterial small subunit ribosomal RNA", at positions 28 to 507 of the family's 1533-position model. The record is from RNAcentral.